GGCCUUGUAUUUGGGCCUCACACUAAAGCCCAUACUUUGUAAAAGAGGAGGAGCCCCUUAUUCUAUAAAAGGGGACUCCUCCCCUCAUUCUAGGGGAGGCAAAAGAGCCAAGCCUAAGAAGGCUAAGAGAAGCUCUCAUUACAUUCAGGAGAGACCUCACACCACCGAGGCUCUCCUCUCCCUUCUCUUCUUUCUCUGGGGGACUUCCCCAAACACUUGUAUCCAUACACUUACAGAGAAACAGAAUCAACUACAGUGUGGGCGUAGCCCAAACAUUGGGGUGAACCACGAUAAAAUCCUUGUGUUCUUUGUGUCAUUUACAUUUCAUGCAGAUUCACGGUCGGAUUUACGUUGUUCCAAGACCAUCCGGUUUUGUGCAUCAACAUUUGGCGCCGUCUGUGGGAAUCGAUACAAAAAACUAUGUCGGUUCUCUUUCAUUUUUUCAUCAAAUUUCACCACUGUGAAUCUGCAAAAUCUGCAAAAACCUAUCAACAGAAAAGAUCCAAAUUCCAACACCUGUGCUCUUCCAUCCCUCUCUGUUCUUGUAAAAGCAACAUCCAAAUUACAAAAAAACAACAUCCAAAAGCUCCUGGAAAAACACCUCCACUUCCCCCUUAACCUUCACACGUGUCCAAAAGCUCCUGGAGAAAGAUUAGGGGAAGUAACAGGCUUUUUCCGAGCUCUUCAAUGGCUGUCGACGAGAACGUGGAGAGCCGCGGCAACCAAGCGGUGCUGUCAUCGCAGGCACAGCCAUGCAGAUUCAGGCAGAAGCUGGAGAUCCACAACGAGGUACUCCGACGAAUCCAAGCGUCCGCUUCGUUGACCCAAAACAAACCGAGUCUGCUUCGUUCCCAUCGCCGGAACCCGCGAUUCAUUGCGGCCAGUCGUCGACCUCAGUUCAAGCUCUCUGUUAACCGGGUCGAUCUCAUUGGAGCUCGGGAAGCUCACCGGUCUUGAAGUGUUGAGAGCAGGAGGGAACCAGUCCUAGCGCAUGGAAGCAGCUGCCCCAAAGUCUUCUCCGCCGGAGUCUGCCAUCUCCAUCAAGAUCUCCGUCAAGUCUGCCAUCUUCUCAGAUUCUGUUGCAGGAACCCGCGAUCUCCACUCUCUCUGCUCAUCCUGCUCGCCUGAAUUUUUUCCGGUGACUGCGACGGCGACGCCAAGUCGUCUUCGUCGUCGGAUUGUUCCGCCUACAUAUCCAGCACAGAAAUGGAGGACUUGUCGUCCUCGAACGGUGUGGAGAGCAACGGCGCUGGACCGGCGGCGAGGAGGGAGAUCUGUUGACAAAAAUGGAUACUUGUUGACGAAGGAGACGGAGAUCUGUUGCUGCAGCAGAUCAAUCGAGAGGAGCUGAAAGCCACCGGAGCUGAGCCUUUGACCGACGGGCGACACGUCCUUUGCAUCCAUGGCUGGGAAGUCAAGUCCCGCCCAACAGCUGCCACCAGCGCCAUCCAUGCCACCUACCCCCGUCAGAUUUAAAGCAGCAAGCCGACCCGAGUGGAGGAGAACCGGGUCCCAGCAGCAGCGAUUCUCAAUCGUAACUUUGCUAAAUUGAUCGCCCAGGUUGGUUCCUCCCUGUGUGAGUCACCUGAACGUAUCAACCUGUUGAAGUCAGAUUUUGUUGCAGCAUCUGAUAAAAAUGCCGAGCUGGAGAAGCAGACUCACGAGUUGUAGAUGGGCGAAAUAGGAGGAAGACAGAGAGAUAGAUUUCUAAGGUUUUCGUCCGAUGAAGUGGAGGCCACCUCGCUGUCAACCCCAACACCACCUCGCAGGAGAUCGCCAGUUGGAUGACGUCGGACGACAUUCCUCUACGCCGGGGUCGUGAUGUCUCUACACCAGUCUUCGCCGGGAUUUUGUCCGGCCUCACCUUGGGUUUGAUGUCACUUAACCUCGCCGAGAAGAGGGAGAGUUGAUCCCUGAUAUUUCUGAGCUUGAAGGUGGUGAUGUGAUGGGCAGUCCCAGAAAAGAGAAAGGCAGUGGCGGACAAAGCAAAAGGAAAAGAGAAAGAAAAGGGAAAGUAAAAGCAAAAGCAAGUCAGUGUGUCUGGAAGUGGAGAGAUCAAAGAGGGAACAGAAAAGAAAAAAGAUCAUGUCGUUGGGAGAAUAUUUCAGAAAGCAGAAAAGAGGAAAGCAAAAAGGAUGCACAUGGAGACACUGCCAAAACAAGGAAUAAAUACCCCACCCGAAUGAUGUAAUUUAUUUUUAUUAUCUUUCGGAGACAUCUGUAUAAACCCCAUCAGAGGGUAAUAUAUAUAAACCCCAUCAGAGGGUCAAAAAAAAAAAAGAAAAAAAAAAGGGAAAAGCCCAAAACAAAUGGGCUGACAUGUUGUGGAGGGCAAAGGCCCAUAGGCCUGAAAUAGCACCAACCAGGUCAUCAAAAGUACGCCUAGUACUCCAAAAUUAUACAUGAGCACUACUCAUGUCAUUCAUACAUAAACAUUCAUGAGCAUCACUCAUGACAAUCAUACAUAAACAUUCAUGACCAUCAUUCAUGUCAACAUUCAUGAGCAUCACUCAUGUUAACAUUCAUGAGCAUCACUCAUGACAACAUCCAUGAGCAUCACUCAUGUCAAUCAACAUAAACAUUCAUGAGCAUCACUCAUGUCAAUCAGCUUCAAAAGCUUCAUUUACAAAAGCUCCAGCUUCGAAAGCUUCAUUUACAGAGCUCUAGCUUCAAAGCUUCACCUGCAAAGCUUCACCUACAAAGCUUCAGUGCAGGGUAUACAAGUACCGCCUUCGAACAACCGCCACUUCGGCCCAUACAUGAAUUCAAUUUGAAGUCUCCAGCCAACAGACUCUAUUGACUAAAGACUUGGGGACUACAUUAUGUACCAUAUAUUGGGCCUCAACUGGGCCUCAUGAAAAAUACUUGGGGGACUUAGCCCAUCACUUAUGUAUUGAGAAGCGAGCCCUUAUUUUAUAAAAGGGACUCCCUCACCACCAUUAGAGAGUAUCGCCGCCAGCUGAGCAACCACCUCGCCACGAGCAUCACUCCUAAAUUUAUGUAUCGAGGAGCGAUCCCUUAUUUUAUAAAAGGGACUCCCUCACCUUCAAACGCCACAAGCCAAGCCAACCAAGGCAACAUAAGCUACAAGCAAAGCGGCCUCACAACAUGUGCUACUUCUAGUUGAGCAUCAUUCCAGAUUGGGCACCGCCUCAUAUCGAGCAUCAGUUCUAGACGACAUUUAGUUACUUCGGCCCACACAUGGACUGAAUUUCAAGUCUCCAGCCAAAAGACUCUCUUGACUGAAUACUUGGGGGACUACUGUUUAUACCAUAUUUAGGGCCUCGUAUAUUUGGGCCUUGGGCCUUGUAUUUGGGCCUCACACUAAAGCCCAUACUUUGUAAAAGAGGAGGAGCCCCUUAUUCUAUAAAAGGGGACUCCUCCCCUCAUUCUAGGGGAGGCAAAAGAGCCAAGCCUAAGAAGGCUAAGAGAAGCUCUCAUUACAUUCAGGAGAGACCUCACACCACCGAGGCUCUCCUCUCCCUUCUCUUCUUUCUCUGGGGGACUUCCCCAAACACUUG
Molecule: long non-coding RNA, 3521 nt
Filed under: Malus domestica (apple)
Lineage: Eukaryota; Viridiplantae; Streptophyta; Magnoliopsida; Rosales; Rosaceae
Description: long non-coding RNA (MDOM_LNC006276)
Source: RNAcentral